Rattus norvegicus (Norway rat) is the source of this 559-nucleotide non-coding RNA. The record is from RefSeq and is a predicted model, not a curated record. Lineage: Eukaryota; Metazoa; Chordata; Mammalia; Rodentia; Muridae.
GUAGAAAAUAAAGUUUAUUUGGGAGCGGGGGGGGGGGGGGGAGAAGGGAGUAGAGGAAGAUGAAAGAGGGAGAAAUGGGUCAAAAAAAGAGAAAAGGGUCAGAGAGAGCUAAAGGAAGCCAAAUAGUCCCUUUCACAGCAAGUCAAGUCUAUCUGGCUGUUGCUAGGUAACUGUUGGGCGGAGCAUAGAAGGAAUGCUAACAAUUCCAACUACCGUCUGUAGACUUUACUUCCUUGAGCUGAGAAAAUGUUUAUUUUGUAAUUUUAGUGUUUCCUUUUAAUUUUGAGAGUUUUGAAGGUAGGUUCUGCUGGUUCUCGGUGUUGUUGGCUGCCUGAUAGAGGACCAUUGUCCUCUAUCUGAGAACUGGGGACGGAACCCAGGGCCUUGUGCUUGCUAGGCAAGUGCUCUAUCACUGAGCUAAAUCCCCAACCCCUAAAUUAAAAAUUUUUAAAGCUGCUUUGAGAACAUGAUAUUCCUAAUUAUACAAUUCUGGUUAGAAUGUUAUCCUUCAUCUUUAUCCCAAUUCUUCUUCUACAAUACAUUUUCAUUACUUAGAUAA